UAGAUACUCCCUCCAUCCAAAAAAACUUGUCCCAAGCUUGGUCCUCAAAUGAAUGUAUUUAGCACUAACUUGGUGCUUGAUAUAACCAUUUGAGGGACAAGCUUUUUUGGAUGGAGGGAGCAGGUG
This is a non-coding RNA of Triticum aestivum (bread wheat), 126 nucleotides long. NCBI's taxonomy places the organism in Eukaryota, Viridiplantae, Streptophyta, Magnoliopsida, Poales, Poaceae. The record is from Rfam.